ACCCUAACCCGACGGAAAGGGAGGGUACGCCCGGUCGAAGGGUAGGGUACGACGAUUGGGGUG
RNAcentral lists this ribosomal RNA (63 nucleotides) under uncultured bacterium. Its description in RNAcentral is "partial 16S ribosomal RNA". The record is from RNAcentral.